Molecule: long non-coding RNA, 344 nt
Organism: Oreochromis aureus
Lineage: Eukaryota; Metazoa; Chordata; Actinopteri; Cichliformes; Cichlidae
Source: Ensembl
UCCGAUAUUACUAAACAAAGACGUCAGGCUUGCAUUGCAGCGGUGAGACGAGCGGAUCGAGUUCUGUGCAAUCCCCAGCUUUUUGUUGGUUUGGUCUCCGCAUCUUCUUUCCGCGCAUACACAGCAAACCAGUUUAAGAAUUAUAAAUCCCUGGAGGCCCACAUCCAAUUCACGAACGGCUGGGUGCAAGAUUUGUCCAUCUUUAUGCCUCCACGCUGCGACAACUGUACGUUGUCGUUAAGACAAAGGCGCUUGCUCUCUUUCCCAGUGGCGCAGUUGGUAAUGACACAGGUCUGCAAUCCAAAGGUCGUGGGUUCAAUUACACCUUGGGCAGCAUGUUUUUU